GUCCUCAGCUCGUGUCGUGAGAUGUUGGGUUAAGUCCCGCAACGAGCGCAACCCUUAAUGUUAGUUGCCAGCAUUCAGUUGGGCACUCUAGCAAGACUGCCGGUGACAAACCGGAGGAAGGUGGGGAUGACGUCAAAUCAUCAUGCCCCUUAUGACCUGGGCUACACACGUGCUACAAUGGACAGAACAAAGGGCAGCGAAACCGCGAGGUUAAGCCAAUCCCACAAAUCUGUUCUCAGUUCGGAUCGCAGUCUGCAACUCGACUGCGUGAAGCUGGAAUCGCUAGUAAUCGCGGAUCAGCAUGCCGCGAU
RNAcentral lists this ribosomal RNA (311 nucleotides) under uncultured Bacillus sp. Its description in RNAcentral is "bacterial SSU rRNA". It matches the Rfam family "Bacterial small subunit ribosomal RNA", at positions 1051 to 1363 of the family's 1533-position model. The record is from RNAcentral. Lineage: Bacteria; Bacillati; Bacillota; Bacilli; Caryophanales; Bacillaceae.